RNAcentral lists this non-coding RNA (108 nucleotides) under Saccharopolyspora erythraea. RNAcentral describes it as "Glycine sequence". It matches the Rfam family "Glycine riboswitch aptamer". Rfam says of the family: This family represents the bacterial glycine riboswitch. Glycine riboswitches usually consist of two metabolite-binding aptamers domains with similar structures in tandem. RNAcentral also lists the same sequence under 1 other name. Lineage: Bacteria; Bacillati; Actinomycetota; Actinomycetes; Pseudonocardiales; Pseudonocardiaceae. The record is from RNAcentral.
AGACCCCGGGCGGGAGAGCCCCUGUCCUGCCGCGCGAGCAGUGGAACAGGGCGCCGAAGGAGCAAGACUCCCCGCAAACUCUCAGGCACCCAUGACCGUCCGGGCGAG